GUGCUCACUUCUGCAGCACGUAUACUAAAAUUGGAACGAUAUAGAGAAGAUUAGCAUGGCCCCUGUGCAAGGAUGACACGCAAAUUCGUGAACCGUUUCAUAUUAAA
This is a small nuclear RNA of Lepus europaeus (European hare), 107 nucleotides long. NCBI's taxonomy places the organism in Eukaryota, Metazoa, Chordata, Mammalia, Lagomorpha, Leporidae. The record is from RefSeq and is a predicted model, not a curated record.